Molecule: unclassified non-coding RNA, 376 nt
Filed under: uncultured bacterium
Lineage: Bacteria
Description: contains 16S-23S intergenic spacer region
Source: RNAcentral
UCCGAGUUGACCCCGGCGGUCUCCCAUGAGUCCCCACCCGAAGUGCUGGCAACAUGGAACGAGGGUUGCGCUCGUUGCGGGACUUAACCCAACAUCUCACGACACGAGCUGACGACAGCCAUGCACCACCUGUGAUGGUGUCCCGAAGGAAAGGUGUGUUUCCACACCGGCCACCAACAUGUCAAGCCCAGGUAAGGUUCUUCGCGUUGCGUCGAAUUAAUCCGCAUGCUCCGCCGCUUGUGCGGGCCCCCGUCAAUUCAUUUGAGUUUUAACCUUGCGGCCGUACUCCCCAGGCGGUCUACUUAGUGCGUUAGCUGCGCCACCAAAACCUCAAGGGUCCCGACGGCUAGUAGACAUCGUUUACGGCGUGGACUAC